UACGAAGGGGGCUAGCGUUGCUCGGAAUCACUGGGCGUAAAGGGUGCGUAGGCGGGUCUUUAAGUCAGGGGUGAAAUCCUGGAGCUCGACUCCAGAACUGCCUUUGAUACUGAGGAUCUUGAGUUCGGGAGAGGUGAGUGGAACUGCGAGUGUAGAGGUGAAAUUCGUAGAUAUUCGCAAGAACACCAGUGGCGAAGGCGGCUCACUGGCCCGAUACUGACGCUGAGGCACGAAAGCGUGGGGAGCAAACAGG
Molecule: ribosomal RNA, 253 nt
Filed under: uncultured bacterium
Lineage: Bacteria
Description: partial 16S ribosomal RNA
Rfam family: Bacterial small subunit ribosomal RNA
Source: RNAcentral